This is a long non-coding RNA of Lutra lutra (Eurasian river otter), 4262 nucleotides long. RefSeq lists it as uncharacterized. The record is from RefSeq and is a predicted model, not a curated record. NCBI's taxonomy places the organism in Eukaryota, Metazoa, Chordata, Mammalia, Carnivora, Mustelidae. The transcript is spliced from 5 exons.
CGUGAGAGGCACCACAAUUUCACCGCCGUUGUGUGAGUUCUUUCAGCCUCCUGGAACAAGGAAGUGAAGAGUGAUAAAGCAGAGGAGUCUGCUGCUGGGCCUGAAAACCAAAUGAAACGUCAUGGAGAACCCACAAGUCCUCCUCCACCUAAAAGAAUGCUGAGCAUGCUGCUACUGUCAGUGAAAAAGGAAGGAGAGGGAGCAUCCCACCCCGGGGGGUCAGCUGUGUCCUUGGAAGAUGGUGAGGGUGCCUGUCCUCAUGUCCCCUUCCUGACUUGACCCUGUGAACCCUGCCUCUGUCUCAUCUACUCCACAAGAGUAGUUCCUAUUAAGGUCACUGGCUUUGGGUGAGGCUGCCAUUAAUUUCUCAACCACACCAGACCAAGUGUUCACUCUAUCCCUUAUGGAAGUUUUCCUGGAUUCCCAAACUCUGCACUCUACUGGUUUCCUUUUCCUCAUUGAAUUUGCCUUUGUUCUCCUUUCCGAUUUUCUUUUUCUCCUCAUAAUACUGUCAUUGUUCCUGAGUCCCACUGUUCCACUGUCUCUUAUUCCACACUGCCUUAUCACUCAGCAAGCUGCUCCAGUAGUUUCUGAGCUUGCGUCCUGCUUUCCCACUUGACCCUGUAGGUUAUUUGUUCCUAUGCACCCAGAGUGACCAUGUCCAUACAGAAAUCAGGUCAUGACAUGCAUAUCCUGAGACCCAUCAUCAACUCCCCGAGCAGUCAGAACAGAGUUGGAGUUCCCAGUGCUGGUCUCCAUGGCCCUACACAACCUGGCCCUGCAUGACCUGACCAUGCCAUCUUCUGCUAUCACGUGUCCUCUCCAUGUCCUUCUUGCUCUCUCUGCCUCUGACAUUUGUUUACCAAUCCAGCUCAUCCCCUUCUAGGGGCUCUGCAUGGCCCUCACAGCAGCUGGAACUCCUCCACAUGGGUGUGCAUAGGCCUGCUCUAACUCCUGCUCCUGCUCCAAGCUCUGCCCAGAGGUCACCUCCUCAGAGCACCCUGCCCGACCUCACAUCAUGGAGGCUUCCCCUCCUGCUUUCAGUCACAUCCCUGCUGACUUCCUUCCUAACACAAAGUCAACUGUAUUAAUCUUUUGCCUUUUUUACAUGUACCAUCAGCCUUCCCUAUGAGGAUGUAAGUUCCAUGAGGUUUGGGAUUGUCUUUGUCCAUUCUGUCUGUCUGGUUCCCUGCCAAGCUCCAAGUUUUUGCACAUGCCUGGCACAAAGAAGGAUGAGUAAAUGCAGUUGAGGUGUCAGACUUGGUGUAGAAAAAAAUUGGCCUCCUGAGACAAAAGACUGAUGAGGAAGAUCAUGUGUUGACUGGGAUUUCUAGUGAUGGAGUGCCAUUAUCAGGCAUCCUGACAUCAAGUGACAUGUUCAUCUCUUCACCUUGUAGAGGGCAAUCACGAUGACAUGAAGUCAUGAGUGCCAGGGCUCUGUGAAUGUUUGUUAAUUAGUUAUAUUGUCUUACUUUGUUUCUGUGUGUAUGUGUAGUGACAAGAAUAGAAGAGGCUCCUUUGUUGUAUUAUUUUUCCUGAGGUCAAAUUUUCAGGUCUGAUUCUUCUAUCUGGUAUAUUCUCCUGCUAUGAAAAGAAAUAUUAGAGACUGUGAAGCAUGUGGAUGUUCGCAUGGGGUUGCUGAAAUGCACAUCAUUGUAGCUCCUCAUUCAGUUAGAUUUCCACAGGCACCUGUCGUUCACAGUAUGCACGGGGCGGGGAGGGGAAGUGGUCGAUCCUCACCUGAUGGCUUCUGGUCUAAAUAUGAUCUCCAGAGCUUGUGAGUAUGGCAGGAGACGGUAUUCCACACAUAGAUUCUUUGUGUCCUGACUUAGCCAGGGUCAACAAGGGUGGGCCGAUUCACAGACCUGGUAGGAAGAAUUCCCAGCUGUCUCUCUGCAGAUGAUCCCAUGGUCACAGCAAUGCCUGUGUCCCAAGAAGUGCCAGAUAAACUGCCAAUACCAGUGGAAAUUAGUGCUGACAUGAAACAUCAGUUAAAGAAUGAAAUUCGACGAUAUGGACAACAUAAGUAUGAAUAUGAAAAAGUCUUCAAAUUGCUUGAAGGAGUGUAAAGACCUCAAGAAUUGUGGAACAAAUUUUGUUUUAUUGUCUGUCAAAGAAACAGCAAGGUGGGUAUAGAGAGAAGCUCUGUAGCACAGCAAGAUUGAUAUUAUCUGAGUCUCACUCACUCUUCCAAGUUCCAGGAGACUUCUGUUCACACCAUAGUUUGAGAUUUAAAAGACAAGACUGAAUAAGGCACCUGGAGGAGGUACUAGAAAAAUUAGAAUCUGACCACCUUCUCAACAAUGAGAAUCAUACCUCAAACUUAUAAUUCUGUCACCAAGUUAUCAAUAUGUAACCAGAACCAGUUUGCUGUCCUAGAAUGGAACGGGAUAUUGUUGAUGCCUCCUAGCCCAUGUUAGUUAAGAAUUGUCUACUUGAAGCUAAGAAAAAGCAUCAGAACUUUAAUGUUAUAAAAUUCUGGUACUAAGUUUGCUUUAUCAAUUCAUUUAAAAGGAUAAUUUGUUGUUUGUUUGUUUGUUUGUUUUCCCCCUAAAGUGCAGGAAUGCUGUUAAGUCAUUGGUUUAUACUACAUCCUAGCUCCUCAGCAGGUCACAGGCCUGUAGCUGGUAUUUCUAGUAUAUUCCACACUAGCAAUUUCUUUUUUAAAAUUUUAUAUUUUAAGUAAUAUCUAUACCCAAAUUGGGGCUUAUAUAACUCCAAGAUCAAGAGUCACAUGCUCCACUGAGCCAGUCAGCACCCUAUACAUUCUCCAUUUUUUUUUCUUUUGCCUGAGACAGUCACUCAUGGGGGUCAUACGGCCUCAGGGGAUGACUCACAGCUUAAUUACCAAUGGGCCGGAUCAUUAGACGUCCUGCCCGAACUGAGUUCCUAUAAUUUUUCUUUGACUUUAAUCACCAAUAUGAGAGUGCUGAGAAAAGCCCAAACAUUGUGGACAGAGAGUCCUCCUCAGCGCCUUGUGUCCUGGCAGCCCUGUAUCCUUACCCAUCAGGUUCCAUUGUGUAGGAGCCCCAUGUUUGCCUGAGGACUAAGGGAGUGGAGCUCUGCAGUCUGAACCCUUGGCAGAGUCUAUUUCCAUUUCAAUGGAGUCAUUGUUAGGGCUGUUAUGGAAAACAUUUAUCCUUUGGAUAAAGACCUCUAGUGCAGGGAGGUCUAAGGUUAUGGGGACUAGAAGCAAAAUUUGGCUACUGGAUACAGAAGAGUAAUAGUGAGAGGAGUCCCUCACACUGCCAUCCCUUCAUUAAUAAAGGUGUGAAUUGUGUCUGUGGGAGAGAUAUCCAUAUAUACUGGCCAAUGAGGUAGAGGAUUGACAUCCUCUAAAUUAUAUUACCCCAGCCCCUCAAGGUACUGCUGCCAAGUUAGAACCAUAGUGUGGCUUUAAAAGAUCAUUCCAGGACUUUUUUGAAACUCACUUUAGGAUGAUGAGGUAGGUAAUACACCUACUGAAUUACAUAAGCAUGUGCCCUGAUAAACAAUUUCCUUGUUUAUAAGUGAUGCUGUGUGGAAUACCAUGAUGGUGGAUAAAGCAUUUUCUAAAUCCAUGAAUGUUGGUUUUCUCAAAAAUCUCUGAGUGGAAAGGAAGAUCCAUUUGAGUAUAAAGAGCUAGCUUUCCCUGAUGAAAGGAGACCACAAUAAUCCAUCUGCCUACUGAUAUUAGCUGACUGACCACUUGGGGGAUGUGGUGCCAUAUCAGGUGCUCAGUGUUGGUCUGUGCUGCUGGCAGAUGGAGCAGUCAGCAGUAUCGGCAACACCAUCAGUCUUGCUGAGUGGAAGUUCAUGUUUAUGUUCCAUGCAUAAUCUGCAUCCCUGCUUUCAUGACCAUGAUGCAUUACUACUGCUUGGAAGAUGGAGGGGUACAUCUAGGGAGGUAUGGGGGUGGUCCUAGGAGCUCAGGAUGGCCUCAGCCGAGAGAGAGCAAGGAAAUAGGGACCCCACUCCUACAACCUUAGGAAACUAGAGCUGCCAAUUACCUGGAAGGGUUUGGAAGCAGUUUCUCCCUCCAAGUCUCCAGUUAAUGACCUAGCAUGGCCAAUACCUUGAGUUCAAUUGCGUGAGACCCUAAGCAGAGAACCCCGUCGAGCCUGCCUGAACUUGUGACCUAUGGAACUCCUUGAUCAUUCAUUUGUGUCAUUUCAUACUGCUAAAUAUGGGGUAACGGACUUAUUGUGUGCUAUUAGAAAAUGAAUAUGGGCAAGUGCCUGCAUAUUGGAAUAUCCCAACUGAAAAUCAGGCAUGAUACUUUG